CGGAGUAGCAGGACAACGGUAGAG
This 24-nucleotide unclassified non-coding RNA is filed under the name Mus musculus (house mouse). RNAcentral's name for it is "oocyte_clustered_small_RNA3704". Lineage: Eukaryota; Metazoa; Chordata; Mammalia; Rodentia; Muridae. The record is from RNAcentral.